RNAcentral lists this ribosomal RNA (253 nucleotides) under uncultured bacterium. RNAcentral's name for it is "partial 16S ribosomal RNA". It matches the Rfam family "Bacterial small subunit ribosomal RNA", at positions 524 to 776 of the family's 1533-position model. The record is from RNAcentral.
UACGUAGGGACCGAGCGUUGUCCGGAAUCAUUGGGCGUAAAGAGCGUGUAGGCGGCUUGUUAAGUCUUGCGUGAAAUCUCGGGGCUCAACCCCGCGCGGUCGUGAGAAACUGGCAGGCUAGAGUGCGGGAGAGGAGAGUGGAAUUCCUGGUGUAGCGGUGAAAUGCGCAGAUAUCAGGAAGAACACCCGUGGCGAAGGCGGCUCUCUGGAACGCAACUGACGCUGAGACGCGAAAGCGUGGGGAGCAAACAGG